ACCUGGCUGGCUCAGUCAGUAGAGCAUGAGACUUUUCAUCUCAGGGUUGUGAGUUCGAGCCCCGUGUUGGGAG
Molecule: transfer RNA, 73 nt
Filed under: Ailuropoda melanoleuca (giant panda)
Lineage: Eukaryota; Metazoa; Chordata; Mammalia; Carnivora; Ursidae
Rfam family: tRNA
About the family: Transfer RNA (tRNA) molecules are approximately 80 nucleotides in length. Their secondary structure includes four short double-helical elements and three loops (D, anti-codon, and T loops).
Source: Rfam by way of RNAcentral